AAGGGAUGGGUUUUUUCUCUCUGUAUGUAUUCAUUUUCGUCUGCUCACUUCAUUGCCUUGUUUUUGUCGAUUCACUCUCGGUCUUGGAGAAAUUUGUGGAGAAUCUAUCCAUGUUCCUUUUUUUUUGGCUCUAUAUUUUGAUCGAAGAUCUACCCUCUGAAAAUUAGUUUCUUUCUAUAUAUAGGUGUAUAGUGUUAGUCUUUCACAUCUUAGAUUCGAAGAUUUAUGGUUUCGACGUGUUUGUGGUAAAUUUGUUUUUGAUACCUUUUCUUAUGAUCUAGCCUUUGGUAGAUAUUUUUUCUAUGCAUAAACUACACUGCAUUGCUUCUUUCUCUUUUCCAGAUUAGGCUUGAGGAUGUAAGGUUUUGAUCUUUUGGGGUUUCAUCUUUUUUCAAAGGUGAGUUAUUACUGGUUUAUUGUACAUGGUUGUUGUUUUAUGUUGGGUUAUUUUACGUUUGUGCAGAAUCUAAUAUCUCUUAUAUUUUUCAAAAUCGUGACUUUUUUUGUGAGGUGAUCUGAAGGUGCAUCUUUAAGCAUGUGGAGUUUUUCUUCUUCUCGUCUUGGAUUUUGGAAAUGCAAGGACUCUAUGGUAUUUUCAACUUUAUUUCUUGUUGCUCAAAUCAUGUAAAAAAACAGUUUACAUGUGUGGUGUUCAGAAGUAAAGGGAAAUUUUCAUUUUUUUGUUCUUUUCCUUUCAUAAAUGUUCUUUCAGUCAGAAAAUUGUUGAAGGAAUGUGUUCAAUAAGAAAUUACUUGUUGAAGAUUGGGGUUUUCGUUUAUAUUGCGGUUCUUUCUAAUUACUUGAACUGAUAUGUUGUAUCUGUUUCAGUUGUGAUGCUUGUCCGA
This 845-nucleotide long non-coding RNA is filed under the name Olea europaea subsp. europaea. Lineage: Eukaryota; Viridiplantae; Streptophyta; Magnoliopsida; Lamiales; Oleaceae. The record is from RNAcentral.